This 250-nucleotide ribosomal RNA is filed under the name uncultured bacterium. RNAcentral describes it as "partial 16S ribosomal RNA". It matches the Rfam family "Bacterial small subunit ribosomal RNA", at positions 524 to 773 of the family's 1533-position model. The record is from RNAcentral.
UACAGAGGGUGCAAGCGUUAAUCGGAAUGACUGGGCGUAAAGGGCGCGUAGGUGGAUAAUUAAGUUAACUGUGAAAGCCCCCGGCUUAACCGGGGAAAGUCGGUUGAUACUGGUUAUCUUGAGUCUGGGAGAGGGAAGUGGAAUUUCCGGUGUAGCGGUGAAAUGCGUAGAUAUCGGAAAGAACACCAGCGGCGAAGGCGGCUUCCUGGUCCAAGACUGACACUGAGGCGCGAAGGCGUGGGUAGCAAAC